This 433-nucleotide ribosomal RNA is filed under the name uncultured bacterium. RNAcentral's name for it is "partial 16S ribosomal RNA". It matches the Rfam family "Bacterial small subunit ribosomal RNA", at positions 29 to 507 of the family's 1533-position model. The record is from RNAcentral.
AACGAACGCUGGCGGCAGGCCUAACACAUGCAAGUCGAGCGAGGACUUCGGUCCUAGCGGCGGACGGGUGAGUAACGCGUGGGAACGUGCCCUUUGCUUCGGAAUAGCCCUGGGAAACUGGGAGUAAUACCGGAUGAGCCCUUUGGGGGAAAGAUUUAUCGGCGAAGGAUCGGCCCGCGUUGGAUUAGGUAGUUGGUGGGGUAAUGGCCUACCAAGCCGACGAUCCAUAGCUGGUUUGAGAGGAUGAUCAGCCACACUGGGACUGAGACACGGCCCAGACUCAUACGGGAGGCAGCAGUGGGGAAUCUUAGACAAUGGGGGAAACCCUGAUCGAGCCAUGCCGCGUGAGCGAUGAAGGCCUUAGGGUUGUAAAGCUCUUUCAGCUGGGAAGAUAAUGACGGUACCAGCAGAAGAAGCCCCGGCUAACUCCGUG